ACGGGAGGCAGUAGUGGGGAAUAUUGGGCAAUGGGCGCAAGCCUGACCCAGCAACGCCGCGUGAAGGAAGAAGGCUUUCGGGUUGUAAACUUCUUUUAUCAGGGACGAAGGAAAUGACGGUACCUGAAGAAUAAGCCACGGCUAACUACGUGCCAGCAGCCGCGGUAAUACGUAGGUGGCAAGCGUUGUCCGGAUUUACUGGGUGUAAAGGGCGCGUAGGCGGGAUGACAAGUCAGGUGUGAAAUCUAUGGGCUUAACCCAUAAACUGCACUUGAAACUGCCAUUCUUGAGUGUCGGAGAGGUAGAUGGAAUUCCUAGUGUAGCGGUGAAAUGCGUAGAUAUUAGGAGGAACACCAGUGGCGAAGGCGAUCUACUGGACGAUAACUGACGCUGAGGCGCGAAAGCGUGGGGGGCAAACAGGAUUAGAUACCCUGGUA
Molecule: ribosomal RNA, 437 nt
Rfam family: Bacterial small subunit ribosomal RNA